GACGAACGCUGGCGGCGUGCUUAACACAUGCAAGUCGAACGGAAAGGCCCUGCUUUUGUUGGGUGCUCGAGUGGCGCACGGGUGAGUAACACAUGUGUAACCUGCCCUUGACUUAGGGAUAACUUCUGGAAACUGGGGCUCAUACCGGAUAGGAGCUCCUGCUGCAUGGUGGUGGUUGGAAAGUUUCGGCGGUUGGGGAUGGAAUGGCGGCUUCUCCGCUUGUUGGUUGGGUAGUGGCUUACCAAGGCUUUGACGGGUAGCCGACCUGAGAGGGGGGACGGCCACAUUGGGACUGAGGGACGGACCAGACGGGUACGGGAGGCAGUAGGGGGGAGGAUUGCGCAAUAGGCGGAAGCCAGAUGCAGCAACGCCGCGUGCGUGAAGACUGCCUUUGUGUUGAGAACCACUUUCUCCUGUGACGAAGCGUGAGUGACGGUACUGAGUAAAGAAGCACCGGCUAACUACGUG
This 468-nucleotide ribosomal RNA is filed under the name uncultured bacterium. Its description in RNAcentral is "partial 16S ribosomal RNA". It matches the Rfam family "Bacterial small subunit ribosomal RNA", at positions 28 to 507 of the family's 1533-position model. The record is from RNAcentral.